AUUCUGAACACCAAGCUCCCAGCACACUAUCAGAGAGCCUCCUGGGUUUGCAAUGGAGACUGAGCAGGGCAAGACUUUUGUAAAUCGUGCUUCUUCAUGGUCAUGGGAGCACAGCCCAAUUUUGGUGAAUCUCUGGUGCAAGACCAAUAAAACGGUAAACUUCAGCAAAUGUACCAGGAAUGACCAUGUGUACCAGUAGAUAGCUUUUAAAAAAGCUGGCAGCUUUAGAUGGGUGCUCAGUGCAGGGAGCAUAGUAAGAGUCUGAAGAGCAAGUACUGGAAGACCAGAGACAAGAACCACAUCUCGAGCAACUUGCCAACAUCAUGGAUGUCUUAUGAGGAGUUUGACCGUGUGCGGGGCACUGCACCCAGCAUGGAGCCAACCAUGCAUGAUGAUAACCUGGUGAGCUGGGAUGGUACCCAGCUGGCCCCUGAAUCCAGGAUGGGGACUGAUGAGAGCCAGCAGCAGGCUUCAAGAGAGGUGCAUAAAGUGACUGUUCUUGUUUAUGAAACCAAUCCCAGAGGAGGCUGUGCAUCAGGAUCAAUGGCAAAUUCAAGGUCCCUACUCAGAAGAGCUGUUGGAUUUCUCCCUCUCUGAGAACAGCCCACUGCUGAGUCUACAGCAAACCUGGUGGAGAGAGAAGCCACCCUGGAGCCUGGCCACUCCACCUCUACUGCCUGCUGUUCAUCAGGAAUUGAUCCAUGGCCCGAUAUACCCUCACGGGCCAUUCCAAACAGACCAUUUCCAUGAUAAGUUAUGAUCAAUGUUCUUGACACAGCAGACCAGCAGGUCCAGUACCAGAAAAAGAGGGAUGAAAGCCUGGAGCAACGGCAUGCUAAAAGGCAGGAGGAAUUGCUGAAACCAUUCUCUGAGCUCUGUCCUCCCUUAGCUGCUGCUCCUAUUCCAGGAACUGCUUUGCAAGUGUCUGCUUCCUCGCUGAAACUCUCUCCUCCACCAAAGAGCCCCACACCUGAUUGCCUCAGAUAUCUCUGCUACCACUUUACCCACAGCCAACUUUCCAACCCUAAACUGGUUGGCAACGGACCUGUAGCAGUCUGGAAUAGCCAGCUUCCAGACAGUUAUAGAAACCUGCUUCUGGACCAGCAAGGAUGACUUCAGUUGUGUCUCUUUACAUGGGAGGGUUGGGGUAAGGUGUUCACAAAGCUCCAGAAAUGUCGCUUGCUUCGUGCAAAAGUUUUGGACCCACUGCUGAUCCUCCCAGGUCUUAUGACAGUGUGCUCGUGGCCCUGUGCCAGAAGCUCUGGUCUACAUAUGGGGCAUCAGUGGCUAUGCCAGUUGUACCAAGCAGCAGCAGCCAGUGUGAGUCUGCGAUGCCAGGGUACUCCUCCUGCUACUUCAUCAGGAAAUCCGUUCGGUACCUUUGGUGGGACAGAAAAUGCUGCUGAAAUGUCCACCAGUGCCUCAUGGAUGCUUUGCCUGGCACAAAAGUGAAAGUACAAGCAAGAGAAGUUCUUCAGAAGGUGUCUCCUCCAUGCCAUUGGCUCCAGUCAUUAGGAAUGCACAAACCACAAUGAUUGCUCGGCAGGCUCGGGCUGUUCAGACUUCCUGUAAUAGGAAGGGUGGGCAGUAAAGUUUCCCCCCCCCACAGUCCAUCACAGUCAGAGGGCUAAAGCAGCACUUGUGACUCUGGGAUAUGGUUGGUUUGGCUCAGGUCUGUGUGUAGCUGUGUGGAUGCCAGAGCCCCAGGUUGAAGCAUGGGUUAGAAAAGUCUUAACAUAGUGUUUAAAAACAGUGUAGAUGCUUAAACCCAGGAUUCCUUAACAGGUCAGUAGACUCGAGUCCCACUAACCCUGAGUCCCGCUAAACCUGGGCUUACAUUGCAGUGUAGACAUACCCUGUGUCCCUUAGGGGAUACUGUCCAUAACAGGAGUGUUAUAUGGUAAAUGUAUAUCAAAUAUGUUCUGAGAAAAGAAACAAAGCAAGUUAUUUAUAUUUUUUUUUCAAUUUUAACAAUGCAAAGUGACGUCCCCAAACUAUUAAAAGCAAAGAUAGCAGCUCAGUCCAUUCUUGCUCAUUCCACCUCUGUUACCUCUGACUGUGGCAGACGUGUGCCGCAUUCUGUGUGCGUUCUCUGCAAUUUACUGGCGUUAGCCUGCAAGUAGUUCUCGUUCUGAUUCCAUAUCACUAGAACUGCC
This is a long non-coding RNA of Dermochelys coriacea (leatherback sea turtle), 2156 nucleotides long. RefSeq lists it as uncharacterized. Lineage: Eukaryota; Metazoa; Chordata; Testudines; Dermochelyidae. The transcript is spliced from 2 exons. The record is from RefSeq and is a predicted model, not a curated record.